UGGAAGUUCAAAGCAAAACGUAAUUUGCCAUAGUAGAAAUGUAACCAACUAACCAACCAACCAACGGACUAUUGAUUAGACACAGGUAACACACCACGUAAUGAAUCGGAUUGAAAUUUCCAUUGAUGAAGUCGACUCGCCCACGACCAGAAGGCCCCGACAUGUUGGAUGUGAAUGAGUUUAUCAAACUGUAAAUGGGGGAACUGCAACUAGCAGCUGCGAACGGUGAAUAAAAUGAUUGGCUGGUUUUA
This is a long non-coding RNA of Aethina tumida (small hive beetle), 251 nucleotides long. RefSeq lists it as uncharacterized. The transcript has 2 exons. Lineage: Eukaryota; Metazoa; Arthropoda; Insecta; Coleoptera; Nitidulidae. The record is from RefSeq and is a predicted model, not a curated record.